AGGAACGGAUGCAUCUAAUGUCACAUUAAAUUGGAUGGAAUCUAUAGGGAUCAGAUACUAUACCUCUUCCCAGUUUCCCAAAUGGAUGUGAUCAGUGCUUGAUGGUAAUUCAACAUACCCGACAGCCCUAUUUGUGUAAUAACUUCCAGCAGGUUAAACGAUGUCAUGUCUCCACAUGCGCUUCAGGGAGUUGAUCAAAUGAUUAUUUUGUUAAAGGGACCCUCGGCUACCCGACACAGGGAUGAUGAAUCGUAUCAACGGCCUGAUCCAUCGUCCUCUCCUGUAAUUUGUCCACAUCUUUUUGUCCCCGGCCGACAAUAAUGUGGAUUAAUAUUUAAUAUGCGGGGGGGUAAUGCCCCCCCCUCUUUCCUCUUUCCUGCUGCUGACUUGGCAGGAUGUCCUCAGCCACUCAGUUACCACUAAACAGCUAUUGAGGCCCACUUCUUUCACAGGAUGCUUACAAACAUUAUGUUAUGGGAACGUGUGACAGGAUGCUGACAGCAGAAACAGCUGCUCGACCCUGUAACUUAAACGUUGGCUUCAUCACAAAUAUUCAGCAAAGGCGGUUCAGUGCAUCCACUCCUUUCCAACUGAAUCAAAAAUCCUCCUCAAAUGAGAAUAAAAGGUUUGGUUUUUUUUGCCCAGUUGCAAAUGUUUUUUUCCAUUUCAUCUUAAAAUGCUUGUAAAUACACUUGAAACCCUCAAAAGUCUGUGAUAUUUUUACCUCACAGCGUCUCCAUAGCGAUGGAGUCACAAAGUGGGAGAAGUCAUUUCAGGCAUCAAGGACUAAAAGUCCCUUCUAAUUUUCUGGAUGGACGAUGUUGGGUCAGCUGGACAAUAACCUCUCCUUGUUGAAUGGUUAGUGGCAAAGACGAGCAGCUGCUUUACGUGCAGCGCACACACGCCUCAUGGCGUCAUGCAUCAUGGGAAACUCCCGCCAUGAUAAUUACACAAACACAGACGCAUCUCCAAAAGUCGAUGCUGGCAGCGGUACGAAGGCGUCGACCGGCCUUCUCGGCCUAACGCGCGCCACCGGUAGAUCACGCUUCCACCCUCUUGACUGUCCUCGUCACCAUGGUUACGUUGGCCGAGGCCCGUAGCUAACCUUUGUAUCCGAGCAGGCUCAGAUUUAAGUUUGAAAGACUUUUAUUCUUUUUAAAAUACUCUUCUCUUUGAGAUGCGAAGCCGAAUUCGACCUCAGACAAGGGGUCACCGCCUGGUAUCCGGCAAUAAUAAAAAGAGAAUCUUCUGUGUAGAACUGCAGAUCAGCCAGGCUCCUAUUUUCUCACAUUGCCCUUCUCCGGAAUCAUCCGCAGUGCCGUCAAAACCAAUAUUAGCUGGAAUCAUCAGCGUGGGCUUUGGAGAGUGGAGAUAUUGAAGACGCAGGGGCGAGGAGAAUAACACGCCUUUUUAAUGAAUUGUCGGAUUGUUUUUCUGCUGGAGCGGCUGCGUUGAAGCUUAGCGGCCUUUCUGAUUUUGGACCAACUGGCAUUUUCUAUCCCUGUGUCUGGUUUGGGGAUUGCUGGUAUUUGGUUUGUGAGGAGGUUUGUGUCGGGGCACCAGCAGUGAGCGUGCAUACACAUGUCCAUUUCCUUCCAGACACGCACACACACACACACACACACGCAGCACAGGCUGCAUUCAGGCAAACAGACUCAAGUCAAAACGGUCUACUGGGACACUGCUGCAGCAUUGGGGCUAUAUACAUUUUUUUCAGGAUUUGUCCCACUUACAAAUCAAGCUCCUGUUAAGGAGUACUGAAGACAUCCUAAGGGGGGACACAAGUACCUGAACCAAAUAGUGUGACCAUCCAGCCGUUAGUUGCGGAGAAAUUUGGCUCAAAGCGCCCGUGUGGCGGAGCGCGGGGACCAGCCGCUGAUCCUCCGGCCGUCGCGGGCCGCAAACUUUAAUGAGCAAAUUGAUUUAAUGUGUCCUCCUGUGUGAGGAGGGAGCGGCAGUAAGUACAGCACCGAUUGAUUCAUCGUGGGGCCUGAAAAUGAAAGCGCUAUUUAACACCGGCUGAUGCGGCCACGUACCGCCGUUUAGAUGUAAAAAUAAAUCCUACUGCCUGCAGAACGGCACCUUGCGGUUUAUCAUUGUUAACAAGCGUAUGAGGGGAGAAUUCAUACCAUAAGGAAAUGUUAUACCGGUAUACCGCACAUCCCUAUCAUUAAGGUUGCCUCUUUACGUUUUUAGGAUCCUUUUAAAAGGAAUUUAAAACUUUAAAGACCACUGACCUUUUUAGUUGAGUAAAAUGAGGUAAUUACAUCCCUCGCCCCUUGACAGUAAAGGUUUCCACUUACAGGAAUUAUGCACAAUUGCAGUUCCAUGUAUCUUUUCCUUGAACAAUAUUCCAAUAUUUCACAUUCAGGGACAGAGAAGACAUUAUUGCCAAUGCAAAUCAGAUGCAUUUACAUGAGUAGUCUGAGAACAUCCCGCGAUACUAAAUCUCUUGUCUGUGGUUGUAAUGUAAUCUGCAGCGGGCGCAGUGACACCUAACCACUCCCCCUCACCGUCUCUUUCCUGUUUGACCUUUCUCUCUCCCUGCUGGAGUUGAUUUACACGUGGACAUUCGUCAGCCGCAGCGAGGCUUUCCGGUCCUCCUCUAAUCGCCUGCUGGACCUGCUCCAGAACAACGGGCCUUUUUUUUAAAUAUAAAGCGCUGCAUUCCUGGAGAAACUAGAGAAAGAGAGAAAUUGCUAGAUGUGAGAAAGGUGAAUUUACAAUAUGUGUAAUUCCCCCUUUUGGCAGGAUGACGUUUAAUUGGUGUGAUUGAAGGCAGAUGGAGCGGCAAAGGUUGGGAAGAUGCCAAGAACCGGAGCUUCAGAGCGUGUGAAGAGGUGCAGGUAGAGAGACAGCAGCAGCAUGCAGCUUACUGGAUAUGUGGGAAUAUAUAUAUAUAUACACACGUAUUCAUCCAACAGACUCAUAGAGUGGAAAUAAUCCUGCCUGCGGUCAUAUAUAUAUCAAGGGA
Molecule: long non-coding RNA, 2974 nt
Organism: Gasterosteus aculeatus aculeatus (three-spined stickleback)
Lineage: Eukaryota; Metazoa; Chordata; Actinopteri; Perciformes; Gasterosteidae
Source: Ensembl